This 428-nucleotide ribosomal RNA is filed under the name uncultured prokaryote. RNAcentral describes it as "bacterial SSU rRNA". It matches the Rfam family "Bacterial small subunit ribosomal RNA", at positions 355 to 774 of the family's 1533-position model. The record is from RNAcentral.
UGAGGAAUCUUGCGCAAUGGGGGAAACCCUGACGCAGCAACGCCGCGUGAGUGAGGAAGGUCUUCGGAUCGUAAAGCUCUGUCAGAUGGGAAGAAAUGCAUGGAGGUGAAUAGCCUUCAUGUUUGACGGUACCAUCAGAGGAAGCACCGGCUAACUCCGUGCCAGCAGCCGCGGUAAUACGGGGGGUGCAAGCGUUGUUCGGAAUCAUUGGGCGUAAAGAGCGUGUAGGCGGCUUGAUAAGUCAGAUGUGAAAGCCCCGGGCUUAACCCGGGAAGUGCAUUUGAAACUGUCAGGCUUGAGUAGGGGAGAGGGAAGUGGAAUUCCUGGUGUAGAGGUGAAAUUCGUAGAGAUCGGGAGGAAUACCAGUGGCGAAGGCGCCCUUCUGGACGGUUACUGACGCUGAGACGCGAAAGCGUGGGGAGCAAACA